Molecule: ribosomal RNA, 118 nt
Filed under: Danio rerio (zebrafish)
Lineage: Eukaryota; Metazoa; Chordata; Actinopteri; Cypriniformes; Danionidae
Source: RNAcentral
UCUUAUGGCCACAGCCAUAUCACCCUGCAGCCCAUGACUGGUUACUCAUUGAUGCUAAGCAGGGCUGGUUAGUACCUAGAAAGGGAGACCACAUGUGAAAACUAGGUUGCUAUUGGAA